ACAGAGACACAGAGCGUCAGAGGAGAAAACUGGGAAUGUUUUGGGGAAAAUGAAAAGCAGGGAUCCUCACUUUCUCUGCGCGCAUUUUCAUCUAACUUUACUCUGAGGCAUAACAAGAAUUUCCAUUGAGGAAACAAUUUUUUAAAGUAUAUUCCUCCUUUUUCUGUGAUUUAUAUUUUAAAUAGCGGCAGAAACCUGGGAAAUUACACUUUAAUGUUUAAUUAACUGAAUCUAAACUCCUGCUGAUGAAUAACAGAUGAGGAAUAAUUAUUCAAACAAGCUAAAAUAAAGAAAGAAAGAAAAGCUCAUCCCGGACGCGAUUUACCCGUUAAAACCCGGAUUUGAGCCGAGCAUGGCUCUGCCUCUGCACCGCGCUCACAAUUAACGGGAAAACAGCUGAAAUGCGACCAAACUGCCUUAAUUUGGGUCCAAACGUCCCGAGCUCGAACCCUGAUCUGUACACAUUCAAGCUUUUAAAAACGCAUUUUAGACCGGAUCCAAACUUUCUUUUUAACACCAAAUAUGACCCGAGUUUUGCUGCUGGGGUUUAGAUUUCGCGCUGGGCGUCUGUAGACAUUUUGCUACGUUGGUCCAAUCAAACAAAUAAUAAAGAAAUAAAUGCUCGGUGGGAUGUUCUGCGGCUCGGCUCGCUUGGAUCUUACAGAACCGAAUAUUCACAGAUGAGGUUGGUUCCGUUGAAGCCAAAAGGCUGAAAGAAACGGGCUACAGAUCGGGAGCGGGGUCCGUGUCCGGAGAGAAUGCUCGCUUCCCCGGACUGUCAGAUCCAAGCCGGGACGCCUCCACUGUUAUCCGCUCCAUUUUCCUUCCUUUGUUGGAAUAAAUAAGGAAAGAGGAGGAAGAAGGAGAAGCCCCCUGAAACGCACGCCACCUAUCUUCACGGGAGGGGAUAAUUGAGGAGAGUCAAACGUGAGCAUCUUCUGGGUUGAAGUUGUUUUUUUUCUGCUCUCCUUUCUCUCUCUCUCUCUCUCUGUGUGUCUGUCUGUCUUUCUCUCCCUCCUCUCCUUUCUUUUUUAUUUUGCAGGGAACUGUAUCGGGCUUCGACGCGGCGCAACAGAAAACAUGCGGCUGUUUUCCAUCUAUUUUGCAGCGACUGCGCGCAGAAUCAGAGGAGAGGAGACUGGACUCUUGGUACACCAGAAGACUCAGAGGGACUCGCUUUCUUAACGUGUUUCAGAGGAAGAAGAAGAGGAGAGUCUUUACUGGUCGUGGAUCCAGUCCUGGCUGAAUUAUCGUCAUGCUUAAUUUACUGCCACGGUGUGCGCAUAUAAACUAAGCACACACACACACACACACACACAUACACACACUCACGGCGAGCCUGGAGUGGCCUCCUCCGUGGGGCCACAUAUUCACCGUGAAAACGGAUUACAGUCGCUAUGUGACCUAUAGGGGGACCUUGUGCUUAAUGAAUAUAUGGCUCUAAAUCAAGGGACGGGGAUUUGUUGAUUUUGGUUGGUAAUUCUAAAUAAACCACCUAUAUUUUGCUUUAUGUUUUGCAAAAAUGAUUGUCUUCUUGUCUUUUUCCUCUGAAUAAAAUCUCAAACUGUA
Long non-coding RNA from Girardinichthys multiradiatus, 1569 nucleotides. RefSeq lists it as uncharacterized. The record is from RefSeq and is a predicted model, not a curated record. Lineage: Eukaryota; Metazoa; Chordata; Actinopteri; Cyprinodontiformes; Goodeidae. The transcript has 4 exons.